GGUUUGUGGCUCAGUGAUAGAGCACUCACCUCACAUGUGUGAGGUCCUGGGUUUGAUCCUCAGCACCA
This 68-nucleotide transfer RNA is filed under the name Marmota monax (woodchuck). RNAcentral describes it as "tRNA.Val". The stretch from base 5 to 65 matches the Rfam family "tRNA", at positions 6 to 65 of the family's 71-position model. From Rfam's summary of the family: Transfer RNA (tRNA) molecules are approximately 80 nucleotides in length. Their secondary structure includes four short double-helical elements and three loops (D, anti-codon, and T loops). The record is from RNAcentral. Lineage: Eukaryota; Metazoa; Chordata; Mammalia; Rodentia; Sciuridae.